UCUAUGGGUGGCAGCAGUGAGGGAUAUUGGUCAAUGGGCGAGAGCCUGAACCAGCCAAGUCGCGUGAGGGAAGACGGUCCUAUGGAUUGUAAACCUCUUUUGCCGGGGAGCAAAAAGCGGUACGUGUACCGCAUCGAGAGUACCCGGAGAAAAAGCAUCGGCUAACUCCGCGCCAGCAGCCGCGGUAAUACGGAGGAUGCGAGCGUUAUCCGGUUUUAGUGGGUUUAAAGGGUGCGCAGGCGGCUAGUUAAGGCAGCGGGAAAAUUUCGGGGCUAAACCCCGACGAGCCGUGGACACUGGCUUGCUAGAGUGGGCGAGAAGUAUGCGGAAUGCGUGGUGUAGCGGUGAAAUGCAUAGAUAUCACGCAGAACUCCGAUUGCGAAGGCAGCAUACCGGCGCCCAACUGACGCUCAGGCACGAAAGCGUGGGUAUCGAACAGGAUUAGAUACCCGAGUAGUC
This 459-nucleotide ribosomal RNA is filed under the name uncultured bacterium. RNAcentral's name for it is "partial 16S ribosomal RNA". It matches the Rfam family "Bacterial small subunit ribosomal RNA", at positions 338 to 795 of the family's 1533-position model. The record is from RNAcentral.